Molecule: non-coding RNA, 85 nt
Organism: Gossypium hirsutum (cotton)
Lineage: Eukaryota; Viridiplantae; Streptophyta; Magnoliopsida; Malvales; Malvaceae
Source: Rfam
UGUGUUCCAUGAUGAAAAAAAAUCAUUAACCUGAUUUAUCAGUGAUGAUUAUAUAAAUAAUCACCAUCUUUCGGCUGAGAUUGUA